GACGAACGCUGGCGGCGUGCCUAAUACAUGCAAGUCGAGCGCAGGAAAUCAUCCGAACCCUUCGGGGGGAUGUCGACGGAAUGAGCGGCGGACGGGUGAGUAACACGUAAAGAACCUGCCCUCAGGUCUGGGAUAACCACGAGAAAUCGGGGCUAAUACCGGAUGGGUCAUCGGACCGCAUGGUCCGAGGAUGAAAGGCGCUUCGGCGUCGCCGGGGGAUGGCUUUGCGGUGCAUUAGCUAGUUGGUGGGGUAAUGGCCCACCAAGGCGACGAUGCAUGGCCGACCUGAGAGGGUGAUCGGCCACACUGGGACUGAGACACGGCCCAGACUCCUACGGGAGGCAGCAGUAGGGAAUCUUCCACAAUGGACGAAAGUCUGAUGGAGCAACGCCGCGUGAACGAUGAAGGCCUUCGGGUCGUAAAGUUCUGUUGUAAGGGAAGAACAAGUGCCGCAGGCAAUGGCGGCACCUUGACGGUACCUUGCGAGAAAGCCACGGCUAACUACGUGCCAGCCGCCGCAGUAA
This 524-nucleotide ribosomal RNA is filed under the name uncultured bacterium. Its description in RNAcentral is "partial 16S ribosomal RNA". It matches the Rfam family "Bacterial small subunit ribosomal RNA", at positions 28 to 523 of the family's 1533-position model. The record is from RNAcentral.